GCUGGGCACCGGCGCAGGUUCGCUUUCCGGCGGUUGCACCGGGCCGGGGUGCCAGCGCCCGCCUUCCCGUUUCCUCCCGUUCCGCAGCGCGCCCACGGCCUGUGACCCCGGCGACCGCUCCCCAGUGACGAGAGAGCUGGGCCGGGCGCUGCUCCGGCCUGACCUGCGAAGGGACCUCGGUCCAGUCCCCUGUUGCGCCGCGUCCCCUGUCCGUCCGUGCGCGGGCCAGUCAGGGGCCAGUGUCUCGAGCGGUCGAGGUCGCAGACCUAGAGGCGCCCCACAGGCCGGCCCGGGGCGCUGGGAGCGCCGGCCGCGGGCCGGGUGGGGAUGCCUCUGCACGUGAAGUGGCCGUUCCCCGCGGUGCCGCCGCUCACCUGGACCCUGGCCAGCAGCGUCGUCAUGGGCUUGGUGGGCACCUACAGCUGCUUCUGGACCAAGUACAUGAACCACCUGACCGUGCACAACAAGGAGGUGCUGUACGAGCUCAUCGAGAACCGAGGCCCGGCCACGCCCCUCAUCACCGUGUCCAAUCACCAGUCCUGCAUGGACGACCCUCAUCUCUGGGGGAUCCUGAAACUCCGCCACAUCUGGAACCUGAAGUUGAUGCGUUGGUGAGGAGGAAUGGGCCCCUCGAAGUGGGCCGGGCCGGCCCCACCUGCCUCUGCCCAGAUUUGCCCUCCUCCUGCUCUGCCCAGGAGGACCCCUGCAGCUGCAGACAUCUGCUUCACCAAGGAGCUACACUCCCACUUCUUCAGCUUGGGCAAGUGUGUGCCUGUGUGCCGAGGAGAUGGCGUCUACCAGAAGGGGAUGGACUUCAUUUUGGAGAAGCUCAACCAUGGGGACUGGGUGCAUAUCUUCCCAGAAGGUCAGCAGGGCUGACUGGGUCGAGCCCCCCCAGUAUGAGCGGGAUGGGCUCCCAAGCUUCGCCUCUGUGCUCUCUCACCAGGGAAAGUGAACAUGAGUUCCGAAUUCCUGCGUUUCAAGUGGGGUAAGGGCUGCUGGUCUCUGGCCACAGCCAUCCUCCCGGCCCAGAGAUGGCCCUGUGGGCCCCUGGCUCCCGCCCCCUCGGGCUGGGUUGUAUGGGGGUAGAUGGGCGUGUUGUAGCGCCAGGAAGGGGACAGGUGCUGAGACUAGGCCUGCCUCUCGCAGGGGCUUGCCCAAGGGAGCUGAAUUGAACUGGAGGAUGUCGGGGGUGGCAGUGGCCAGAGGCUGGCACAGAAGCUUGGCUCAGGGCCCAGCUUAUGCUAACAUUUCUACCUCCCCACUGGGCAGGAAUCGGGCGCCUGAUUGCUGAGUGUCAUCUCAACCCCAUCAUCCUGCCC
Molecule: small RNA, 1322 nt
Filed under: Pan troglodytes (chimpanzee)
Lineage: Eukaryota; Metazoa; Chordata; Mammalia; Primates; Hominidae
Description: retained intron
Source: RNAcentral